AGUGGUAAAAAAAAGAGGUGGGUAAACUAUAAAUUCUGGUGGACCACGACGUGGUCACCAGGUAAGGUGGGCCACUGCCUACCGGUUUAUGUGUAUCCUGAUGACAUUGCUAUAUAGGGAGGGCUCGACAUUAAGCCUUUUCAUACGCUUGUCCUUCGGACAAGUAAAUCUGUCAUUCACUUGUCCGAGUAAAAAAGUUGCUCGUCCGGAUUUUUUAUUUUUAUUUUGUGUGUGUUAAUUUAUUCUGAAACAAUAUUCUCAUCAGUGUUCAAUCAGCUUUGAUAUUUAAAUCACCAUAUUGUAAUAUCUGCACCUUUAAAGGCCAUCCCCUCCCCCAAUAUUAUUAAAUGUAUGCUUCAUCUUUCAUUUUAAAUUCCUAAAUUUGAUCAAUAAAUUCAAUUAUUUCGAAUAAUAAGACACUAGGGCUGUUACUCUAGGGGCUGAUAAAAUGAAAUCAUUUACACUGAAAAAUUACAAUUGCAUAAAAUAAUGUUAUGAAAUUGAUUUAAAUUUACAUAUAAGAAAUGUUGGAAAGAAUGAUACUACUUUUAAACAUUUAACACUAAACCACCAGUAGUAGGUGGUGGCAGGCCACUGUCUUAAUGAGUGAGUCAUUGAUUAAUUCAUUCAAACGAUUCGUUCAAACGGCUGAUUCAUUCAAGAUUGAGACAGAUGUUUAUGAAUGGGUCAUUGAAUCUUUGACUCAAUCGAUUCGUUCAAAAUGCUGAAUAAUUCAGUAAUGAAAACAGGUUGAGUGUUCCUGUGACAUGCGCCGUGGUUCUGCUGUGAUUUUUGUUUGGAACUAUUUUCGCUGUUGAAACAGAACAAAAACAGCCUGUUUUAGGAAAUCAAUGUCACAUUUUCAAUCGUGAUGGUGUUCAGGAAAAAUAAUUGAGGUUGCUUAACAUAUGUUAAAAAUAUAAAACUCCACAUUUAGAUUUUUAUAGGCAGUAUGUUGUUAACUGAGUGUGUGUGUGCUGCGCUCAUUUGUGUAGAUUUCUGCUCGAGAGAGAGGCUGCGCGAGCGUCAACAGUGCAACCUUACCGUCAGUAAUAGUCAACAACACUGACAGUAAUGCAGCGCAAUAUGAAAGAGUUCGUCUUAGGUUUAACAACCUAUGAAACUAAUAAUGAACAAUAUGAAACUAAAA
Rhinichthys klamathensis goyatoka is the source of this 1150-nucleotide long non-coding RNA. RefSeq lists it as uncharacterized. NCBI's taxonomy places the organism in Eukaryota, Metazoa, Chordata, Actinopteri, Cypriniformes, Leuciscidae. The record is from RefSeq and is a predicted model, not a curated record. The transcript is spliced from 2 exons.